RNAcentral lists this long non-coding RNA (350 nucleotides) under Brassica rapa (field mustard). RNAcentral's name for it is "long non-coding RNA (BRAP_LNC005925)". Lineage: Eukaryota; Viridiplantae; Streptophyta; Magnoliopsida; Brassicales; Brassicaceae. The record is from RNAcentral.
UUUAAUUGUUGUAAUAUAUAAAGGAUUACGUAAAUAUAUAGUAUUGUGGUUUAAAUAUAUAUUAAUGAACGAUUUAUGUAUUUCGUUAAUUACUAGUGUUUUCAAAUUUUGAUUUUAAAAUUACAAUAACAUGAUUUUAAAUAUGUAAUUUAUUUUAUUUGAACUGUUUUUUAAACUGUUAUAAACUAUUUUAUCUUCUUGGUCUGUCUUUCUUUCACAUGAUUUGAUAUUCACAGUUUGAACUCCAAGAGGAGAUAUAAGGUCUCCUUGUUGGAAACCUGUUGGUUGGUCCGAUGUAGUCCCAUUGAUUCUGGCCGGAAACAAAAGAGAACUGAUACACGAUAUAAUCC